CCUACGGGUGGCUGCAGUGGGGAAUAUUGGACAAUGGGGGGAACCCUGAUCCAGCCAUGCCGCGUGUGUGAAGAAGGCCCUCGGGUUGUAAAGCACUUUCAGUGAGGAAGAACGCCUGGUGGUUAAUACCCAUCAGGAAAGACAUCACUCACAGAAGAAGCACCGGCUAACUCCGUGCCAGCAGCCGCGGUAAUACGGAGGGUGCGAGCGUUAAUCGGAAUUACUGGGCGUAAAGCGCGCGUAGGUGGCUUGAUAAGCCGGUUGUGAAAGCCCCGGGCUCAACCUGGGAACGGCAUCCGGAACUGUCAAGCUAGAGUGCAGGAGAGGAAGGUAGAAUUCCCGGUGUAGCGGUGAAAUGCGUAGAGAUCGGGAGGAAUACCAGUGGCGAAGGCGGCCUUCUGGACUGACACUGACACUGAGGUGCGAAAGCGUGGGUAGCAAACAGGAGUAGAUACCCUUGUAGUC
This 465-nucleotide ribosomal RNA is filed under the name Vreelandella stevensii. RNAcentral's name for it is "partial 16S ribosomal RNA". It matches the Rfam family "Bacterial small subunit ribosomal RNA", at positions 338 to 795 of the family's 1533-position model. Lineage: Bacteria; Pseudomonadati; Pseudomonadota; Gammaproteobacteria; Oceanospirillales; Halomonadaceae. The record is from RNAcentral.